GGGUUGUGAGGUUAAGCGACUAAGCGUACACGGUGGAUGCCCUGGCAGUCAGAGGCGAUGAAGGACGUGCUAAUCUGCGAUAAGCGUCGGUAAGGUGAUAUGAACCGUUAUAACCGGCGAUUUCCGAAUGGGGAAACCCAGUGUGUUUCGACACACUAUCAUUAACUGAAUCCAUAGGUUAAUGAGGCGAACCGGGGGAACUGAAACAUCUAAGUACCCCGAGGAAAAGAAAUCAACCGAGAUUCCCCCAGUAGCGGCGAGCGAACGGGGAGCAGCCCAGAGCCUGAAUCAGUGUGUGUGUUAGUGGAAGCGUCUGGAAAGGCGUGCGAUACAGGGUGACAGCCCCGUACACAAAAAUGCACAUGCUGUGAGCUCGAUGAGUAGGGCGGGACACGUGGUAUCCUGUCUGAAUAUGGGGGGACCAUCCUCCAAGGCUAAAUACUCCUGACUGACCGAUAGUGAACCAGUACCGUGAGGGAAAGGCGAAAAGAACCCCGGCGAGGGGAGUGAAAAAGAACCUGAAACCGUGUACGUACAAGCAGUGGGAGCACGCUUAGGCGUGUGACUGCGUACCUUUUGUAUAAUGGGUCAGCGACUUAUAUUCUGUAGCAAGGUUAACCGAAUAGGGGAGCCGAAGGGAAACCGAGUCUUAACUGGGCGUUAAGUUGCAGGGUAUAGACCCGAAACCCGGUGAUCUAGCCAUGGGCAGGUUGAAGGUUGGGUAACACUAACUGGAGGACCGAACCGACUAAUGUUGAAAAAUUAGCGGAUGACUUGUGGCUGGGGGUGAAAGGCCAAUCAAACCGGGAGAUAGCUGGUUCUCCCCGAAAGCUAUUUAGGUAGCGCCUCGUGAAUUCAUCUCCGGGGGUAGAGCACUGUUUCGGCAAGGGGGUCAUCCCGACUUACCAA
RNAcentral lists this ribosomal RNA (909 nucleotides) under Escherichia coli. RNAcentral's name for it is "partial 23S ribosomal RNA". It matches the Rfam family "Bacterial large subunit ribosomal RNA", at positions 1 to 942 of the family's 2925-position model. Lineage: Bacteria; Pseudomonadati; Pseudomonadota; Gammaproteobacteria; Enterobacterales; Enterobacteriaceae. The record is from RNAcentral.